This 434-nucleotide ribosomal RNA is filed under the name uncultured Oxobacter sp. RNAcentral describes it as "partial 16S ribosomal RNA". It matches the Rfam family "Bacterial small subunit ribosomal RNA", at positions 341 to 792 of the family's 1533-position model. The record is from RNAcentral. Lineage: Bacteria; Bacillati; Bacillota; Clostridia; Eubacteriales; Clostridiaceae.
ACGGGAGGCAGCAGUGGGGAAUAUUGGGCAAUGGGCGCAAGCCUGACCCAGCAACGCCGCGUGAAGGAAGAAGGUCUUCGGAUUGUAAACUUUUGUUGUUAGUGAAGAUAAUGACUGUAACUAACGAGGAAGCCCCGGCUAACUACGUGCCAGCAGCCGCGGUAAUACGUAGGGGGCAAGCGUUGUCCGGAAUUACUGGGCGUAAAGGGCGCGUAGGCGGCAUAUUAAGUUAGAUGUGAAAUUCCCGGGCUUAACUUGGGCGUUGCAUUUAAAACUGAUAAGCUUGAGUGCAGGAGAGGAAAGUGGAAUUCCUAGUGUAGCGGUGAAAUGCGUAGAUAUUAGGAGGAACAUCAGUGGCGAAGGCGACUUUCUGGACUGUAACUGACGCUGAGGCGCGAAAGCGUGGGUAGCAAACAGGAUUAGAUACCCUGGUA